RNAcentral lists this long non-coding RNA (1041 nucleotides) under Vulpes vulpes (red fox). RNAcentral describes it as "lncRNA (ENSVVUG00000001242.1)". Lineage: Eukaryota; Metazoa; Chordata; Mammalia; Carnivora; Canidae. The record is from RNAcentral.
GUAAAAUUCAGUAAUUGUAAAAUUUGAUAAGCAAUUCUGAUAAUUUACUAGUAAUCACUUACACAUUUUUUAUUGGUGAAGCCGUAAAUCACCCUAUUGAAUUUUGUCCUUUGAUAUUUAAGCAACAGAUUACCUAUUACUAAAACAUAUACUGUAUCUCCUACAACUUUUUCCCCCCCUCUGGAAGUAUUUGUAAAGAAUGAAUUUAAUUUAAUUUAAUUUUUUUUCAUUUGUUUUUAUUGAAGUUCGAUUUGCCAAAAUAUAGUAUAACAUCCAGUGCUCAUCCCAUCAAGUGCCUCAUCAGUGCCCAUCACCCAGUUACCCCAAGAAUUUAAUUUUAAAUUUAAGAAUGCUUUACUUUGCUUUUUUAUCCAUUAAUAUUUUAGUGAUACAAGUAUGAUAUUGGUAACAAUGUAGAAUUCAUCAGAAAAAUGUUGGGAUUUUUCCCACGGGAAAAACAUGAGAAACAAUUGAAAUGUAAGUAAUUGAAAUGUAAAAAAAAUGGAAAGGAAACCAGUUGAAUUAGUUUAGAACAGCUGCCACUGAACAGAGAACAGAGCAAGCUCCUUCAGAGAGAUUUAGAGCAUUCUUUCAUCUCUUCUUUUUAUUUUUUUAUAUAUUUUUCAACAACAGAUGGAUUAGGACUAGCUGUGUCCCCAUGCAUGAAUGUUUUAUAUAGCUAUCAGGUAGUCUCCUAGAAACAAUUGAAAAGUUACAAGAUCCUACUUAACUUGAAGAGUCAUCAGGGUGAGUUUCUUGAAAAGUUUUGAUACCUAAGAUUCUGACUUCUGAAAUCACAGAAUUUUAUUUAAAGAUAAUUUUCUAAUGUCAAAAAGUAAGAUGAAGUGACCUACAUAGAGAGCUGUGAUAUUUCAUGUAAGUCCAAUACUUUGGUUAGCAAAAAUAAGAAAUUUUAAUAGACUAGCAAAAUGUUAUAAUCAGCCAUUGAAACAACAUGCUUGAUAGCUUUUAAAUAUUUCCAUGAGUGAAUGAAUGAAUUUUUGGAGAUUUAUGUAGUUGCUAUUUAAAUAAGUUAAAUUU